UUAAGCGACUAAGCGUACACGGUGGAUGCCCUGGCAGUCAGAGGCGAUGAAGGACGUGCUAAUCUGCGAAAAGCGUCGGUAAGGUGAUAUGAACCGUUAUAGCCGGCGAUGUCCGAAUGGGGAAACCCAGUGCAAUUCGUUGCACUAUCGUUAACUGAAUACAUAGGUUAACGAGGCGAACCGGGGGAACUGAAACAUCUAAGUACCCCGAGGAAAAGAAAUCAACCGAGAUUCCCCCAGUAGCGGCGAGCGAACGGGGAGCAGCCCAGAGUCUGAAUCAGCUUGUGUGUUAGUGGAACGGUCUGGAAAGUCCGACGGUACAGGGUGAUAGUCCCGUACACCAAAAUGCACAGGUUGUGAACUCGAAGAGUAGGGCGGGACACGUGGUAUCCUGUCUGAAUAUGGGGGGACCAUCCUCCAAGGCUAAAUACUCCUGACUGACCGAUAGUGAACCAGUACCGUGAGGGAAAGGCGAAAAGAACCCCGGCGAGGGGAGUGAAAAAGAACCUGAAACCGUGUACGUACAAGCAGUGGGAGCACCUUCGGGUGUGACUGCGUACCUUUUGUAUAAUGGGUCAGCGACUUAUAUUCUGUAGCAAGGUUAACCGUAUAGGGGAGCCGCAGGGAAACCGAGUCUUAACUGGGCGUUAAGUUGCAGGGUAUAGACCCGAAACCCGGUGAUCUAGCCAUGGGCAGGUUGAAGGUUGGGUAACACUAACUGGAGGACCGAACCGACUAAUGUUGAAAAAUUAGCGGAUGACUUGUGGCUGGGGGUGAAAGGCCAAUCAAACCGGGAGAUAGCUGGUUCUCCCCGAAAGCUAUUUAGGUAGCGCCUCGUGAAUUCAUCUUCGGGGGUAGAGCACUGUUUCGGCUAGGGGGUCAUCCCGACUUACCAACCCGAUGCAAACUACGAAUACCGAAGAAUGUUAUCACGGGAGACACACGGCGGGUGCUAACGUCCGUCGUGAAGAGGGAAACAACCCAGACCGCCAGCUAAGGUCCCAAAGUCAUGGUUAAGUGGGAAACGAUGUGGGAAGGCACAGACAGCCAGGAUGUUGGCUUAGAAGCAGCCAUCAUUUAAAGAAAGCGUAAUAGCUCACUGGUCGAGUCGGCCUGCGCGGAAGAUGUAACGGGGCUAAACCAUGCACCGAAGCUGCGGCAGCGACACUAUGUGUUGUUGGGUAGGGGAGCGUUCUGUAAGCCUGCGAAGGUGUGCUGUGAGGCAUGCUGGAGGUAUCAGAAGUGCGAAUGCUGACAUAAGUAACGAUAAAGCGGGUGAAAAGCCCGCUCGCCGGAAGACCAAGGGUUCCUGUCCAACGUUAAUCGGGGCAGGGUGAGUCGACCCCUAAGGCGAGGCCGAAAGGCGUAGUCGAUGGGAAACAGGUUAAUAUUCCUGUACUUGGUGUUACUGCGAAGGGGGGACGGAGAAGGCUAUGUUAGCCGGGCGACGGUUGUCCCGGUUUAAGCAUGUAGGCUGGUUGUCCAGGCAAAUCCGGAUAAUCAAGGCUGAGGUGUGAUGACGAGGCACUACGGUGCUGAAGUAACAAAUGCCCUGCUUCCAGGAAAAGCCUCUAAGCAUCAGGUAACAUUAAAUCGUACCCCAAACCGACACAGGUGGUCAGGUAGAGAAUACCAAGGCGCUUGAGAGAACUCGGGUGAAGGAACUAGGCAAAAUGGUGCCGUAACUUCGGGAGAAGGCACGCUGGUGUGUAGGUGAAGUCCCUGCGGAUGGAGCUGAGACCAGUCGAAGAUACCAGCUGGCUGCAACUGUUUAUUAAAAACACAGCACUGUGCAAACACGAAAGUGGACGUAUACGGUGUGACGCCUGCCCGGUGCCGGAAGGUUAAUUGAUGGGGUUAUCCGUAAGGAGAAGCUCUUGAUCGAAGCCCCGGUAAACGGCGGCCGUAACUAUAACGGUCCUAAGGUAGCGAAAUUCCUUGUCGGGUAAGUUCCGACCUGCACGAAUGGCGUAAUGAUGGCCAGGCUGUCUCCACCCGAGACUCAGUGAAAUUGAACUCGCUGUGAAGAUGCAGUGUACCCGCGGCAAGACGGAAAGACCCCGUGAACCUUUACUAUAGCUUGACACUGAACAUUGAGCCUUGAUGUGUAGGAUAGGUGGGAGGCUUUGAAGCGUGGACGCCAGUCUGCGUGGAGCCAACCUUGAAAUACCACCCUUUAAUGUUUGAUGUUCUAACGUUGGCCCCUUACCGGGGUUGCGGACAGUGUCUGGUGGGUAGUUUGACUGGGGCGGUCUCCUCCCAAAGCGUAACGGAGGAGCACGAAGGUUAGCUAAUCCUGGUCGGACAUCAGGAGGUUAGUGCAAUGGCAUAAGCUAGCUUGACUGCGAGCGUGACGGCGCGAGCAGGUGCGAAAGCAGGUCAUAGUGAUCCGGUGGUUCUGAAUGGAAGGGCCAUCGCUCAACGGAUAAAAGGUACUCCGGGGAUAACAGGCUGAUACCGCCCAAGAGUUCAUAUCGACGGCGGUGUUUGGCACCUCGAUGUCGGCUCAUCACAUCCUGGGGCUGAAGUAGGUCCCAAGGGUAUGGCUGUUCGCCAUUUAAAGUGGUACGCGAGCUGGGUUUAGAACGUCGUGAGACAGUUCGGUCCCUAUCUGCCGUGGGCGCUGGAGAAUUGAGGGGGGCUGCUCCUAGUACGAGAGGACCGGAGUGGACGCAUCACUGGUGUUCGGGUUGUCAUGCCAAUGGCACUGCCCGGUAGCUAAAUGCGGAAGAGAUAAGUGCUGAAAGCAUCUAAGCACGAAACUUGCCCCGAGAUGAGUUCUCCCUGAGACUUUAAGUCUCCUGAAGGAACGUUGAAGACGACGACGUUGAUAGGCCGGGUGUGUAAGCGCAGCGAUGCGUUGAGCUAACCGGUACUAAUGAACCGUGAGGCUUAACCU
RNAcentral lists this ribosomal RNA (2899 nucleotides) under Klebsiella pneumoniae. RNAcentral's name for it is "23S ribosomal RNA". It matches the Rfam family "Bacterial large subunit ribosomal RNA". Lineage: Bacteria; Pseudomonadati; Pseudomonadota; Gammaproteobacteria; Enterobacterales; Enterobacteriaceae. The record is from RNAcentral.